Molecule: long non-coding RNA, 572 nt
Organism: Tyto alba (common barn owl)
Lineage: Eukaryota; Metazoa; Chordata; Aves; Strigiformes; Tytonidae
Exons: 3
Source: RefSeq, a predicted model, not a curated record
GGCAUCCAUCCUGCCCGAUCGCUUCAGUAGUAUUGCCCUGCAAUAGCUUCUUGUAUGAGAGAUGCCCAGCUGCGGCGGGAAAGGUCCCGUGAGCCUCACCAGCCAGCGGCUGCUGAAGGAGCUGCCCCUGUCCUCGGGGUGCAGGUUGGGGCUGGGCGAGGAGCAGAGCCCCUUUGCGGGGGUUUCAGCUGGACACUACGCUUCUGUUGCCCUCUCUUACAGCCAGGCUUCUGCUUCGCAGUCGAGAGCUGAUUCCCGGCAGCUUGCGGUUUGAAAGCGUGCUCCUGCCCUGCUGAGGCUGUGGAAAGCAGCACACUUGCUUUUCCCUUGAAAAAGCCUUGAGUGAGCUCUUUUCCUCUGCUGUUGCUUCUGGACUCUCUUGCGACGGCCAUGGGAGAUGAUUUCCCCCUCUUUCUGCAAGAGGGCAGUGAUUGCCACCGAACUCUGCAUCUCGGGGCUUUGAGAAGAUGAUCGAGCACAGCCUCGAACCGGCGGGUGAGGAGCCGUGCCCGGCCUCGCUGCGGCAGGGGCGGUGAGGUGGCUGUGUCACUGGGAGGCGAGGGGACGGGCAG